Non-coding RNA from Parasteatoda tepidariorum (common house spider), 1019 nucleotides. The record is from RefSeq and is a predicted model, not a curated record. NCBI's taxonomy places the organism in Eukaryota, Metazoa, Arthropoda, Arachnida, Araneae, Theridiidae.
GUGGUCGGGGCUCAGGCUUCUGCCGCUUUAGCAUCAGCCUGGCCGAUUAAGUGAUAAUUAUUAAAGAUUUAAAUGGGAACAUAAAUUGUUUUUAUUUCUAUGAAAAAUUAUCAAUAUGCCUUCAAUUCUGGUUCUUAUGUGCAUACAAGAUGCUUUUAUUUCGAAAGACGGGGAAUACAAAUAAAUACAAGAAAGAAAGAAACCACUGGCCUCAAAAGAUCUCUUCCACCCCAAUAUCUUACUAUCUUGGAGUCCAUUUCAUUUAGAGAGAUCCUCAUUUGAUGAAGAUAUCCCGAAAGCGAAAGCAGGGGCGCAAGCGCCACCGCCUUUGCACCAACCAGGGCGUUUCGUGUGGGUCGACAAGAGGAGGGGACAAGGCGCGCUGGAAAUUUAGCGCAUGUUUGGAGGAUUCGUCGCUUUUUCGUUGCAUUUCUGAAUCCAUAUAAAGAAACUCCAGCCACAAUUUAAGUCACUUAACAAGAAAAACUCUAUCAAAAAUCUGUGAAACAUUUCUACAGUUCGAAGUUCCAAGCUUGUAACAUUUGUUUUAGAUAAUGUUCGGAGUUGUGCCGUUUUCGAAAAUUCUAGCCAUUGCGGUACUGACCAUCCUUUGUUCAGCCCUACUGUGUGAAGGAAGGGCCCAACAGUUUUAUCCUAAUGGACGUUAUGGGAGGAGAAGUGUUUUACCACCCCUUGCAGAUUCCACGCAAGAUUUCAGAGUGGCGCUGUCCGGAGAUGAUUCCAUGAUUUGCAAGUUCACAGGUUACGCUGAUUACUACAAAUGUUUGAGCAGGAAAGACAGUUCAUCUUCGGAGCAGAUUCUUAACUGACAGGAUAAGCCGAACAGUUAACAUUUAGUUUAGAAACUCUUGACCCUAACUCCAUUUCUGUAUCUACUGGAGGAAAUUUAAAAAAAAAAAUGAUUAAUAAAAGGUUACCAAUGUAUAUGUGAAAUGUAUUUUAUUUUAUAUAAUAAUAUAAAUAUAAGUAUUUCGUUAUGCACGCUUUAAUAAAUACUG